AAUAAGCCACAUCCUCUAUGGCCUCUGCAUCAGCUCUUGCCUCCAAGUUCCUGCCCUGACUUCCUUUGGCAAUGAACAGCAAUGUGGAAGUGAGUGCUGAAUAAACCCUUUCCUCCCCAACUUGCUUCUUGGUCAUGAUGUUUGUGCAGGAAUAGAAACCCUGACUUAGACAAAUGGGAUAAUCUGCAUCCAGAAUAAGCAUCUAUUUCUGUGAGGAGGAAGCAAUGCCCCUGCUAAGAAGGAAGUGGUCCAGUGGAAUCAACCUGCCACCAGUUGGGCACUGAUCCUUGAGAACGCGCGCGUGUGCGAGUGCGUGUGUGUGUGUGUGUGUGUGUGUGUGUGUGUGUGUGUGUGUGUGCGCCAAUGCAGGGGUAGGGAGGGAGAGACUGAUAAAAGGACAGGAGAUUAUGGAGGCAAAAGGCAGAACAAGCAAAUUGUCCCAGGAACUCACAGAAAGUACAAACUUCCCAUAAAAGCAUUUUGAAAGUAACAUUUUGCUUUCUAUAAAUGUCACAAAACCACAGGCUUCUGAUGUACCCCUCACUCGUUUUCUUUUAACGGAAACAUCUUCUGGUACUUCGCUGUGUCUGUCAGACUGAAGAGACUGACUCUGGAUCUUCCUGUGCAGCCCUGCUAACACGGAACUUGCUAUGUAGACAUCAAAUUACAGCUAUCUUCUGCCUCUCGGGUUAGAGGAAGAAGAUUACAAAGAAAACUCUGAGAACAAAGCAAUGUUAGUGAAUCAGAGGAGUAUGCAGUGCAAUGCUCUAACUUCGGGACCCUUCUUGGCUGAAAAGCCAGAUUAGUAAACAUUUGAAAUUCGCCUGUGGCAGUGCCCUAUGAAGCACCCUGUGGCAUGAUUCCUAGGCUGGAAGGGGCUGGAGGAAGGACCCUGAGAUCAUUGAUCUUAUUUGCCACUCAUCAGAGGACCACGGGACCUGCCCCUGCUGGCCCUGCUCAUUGAGCAACUGGUGUUACGAAGACACGCAGAAUCCAGAGCCACGGAGGAACACUACGAUUUCGGUGCCUGCCGACAAGAAGUGAGGAGCAAUAGAGGGGUGCCCUCUCACCCUCAGUGCUGUUCACGCGCAGUAGAAAGACCAGUUCUUCGAGACGAAAAGCAUCAAGCUGGUACCUCCUCACUGUGGUUCCUACUGCCAAGCCUGAUGGGGCUGAGUUCCGUCCCCAGACACCACACGAGGGAAGAAGAGAACCGACUCCCAUAAGGUGUUCACCCCACACACAUGGACACAAAAAUAAAUGAAUCAAAAUGUACUGAAGAAGGCUUGAAAGUCACAAGCGGAGCCAUUGCUUGGCAAAAUACGUCUUGACAGAUUCGCCUUCAUGGUGACAGUAGCAAACAAGUAAAACGGUCAUUUUUUUUUUUUUUUUUGGUUCUUUUUUUCGGAGCUGGGGACCGAACCCAGGGCCUUGUGCUUCCUAGGUAAGCGCUCUACCACUGAGCUAAAUCCCCAGUCCAAAACGGUCAUUUUUAUAGACGGGGUGCAGUGUCGAGGGCGGUUGAAUUUAGUGACAGUUUUGCCUGCCCAGGUGCUGCCAGCCCAGCAUUUCCGAGAGUAACUGGUAACUGUGAGACUAUGUAUUCAUAGCAGAAUAUUUAUUUACUCGGUAGCAUUGGUGUUUCUUGAUUUCUCUGCGGCAAAAUUACUAAUGCAAUUGAAAGAAGCAGAUCUUUUUCACAUAAUUUAUAUUACAGUGACAGGAAAGCAGGAGCUGGCAGAGCUGUAAAGGGCCAGGCAAUAAAUAUUUUAAGCUUUAUGAACCAUUCAUCGCUGUUGCAAAUAUUCAACUCAGCUGCAGAAACAGAAGAGCUGCAGACAAAAUGUGAGAUAAUCAUUUUUUUUUUUUUUUGGUUCUUUUUUUCGGAGCUGGGGACCGAACCCAGGGCCUUGUGCUUCCUAGAUAAGCGCUCUACCACUGAGCUAAAUCCCCAGCCCCGAGAUAAUCAUUUGAAUCAAUUCCAGCAUCACCCUAUUUACAAAAACAAGCAUUGUAUCUCAUGUACAUAUACAUAUACAUAUACAUAUACAUAUACAUAUACAUAUACAUAUACAUAUACAUAUACAUAUACAUAUACAUAUACAUAUACAUAUACAUAUACAUAUACAUCAUAUACAUAUACAUAUACAUAUACAUAUACAUAUACAUAUACAUAUACAUAUACAUAUACAUAUACAUAUACAUAUACAUAUACAUAUACAU
This is a non-coding RNA of Rattus norvegicus (Norway rat), 2223 nucleotides long. The record is from RefSeq and is a predicted model, not a curated record. NCBI's taxonomy places the organism in Eukaryota, Metazoa, Chordata, Mammalia, Rodentia, Muridae.